RNAcentral lists this ribosomal RNA (253 nucleotides) under uncultured bacterium. Its description in RNAcentral is "partial 16S ribosomal RNA". It matches the Rfam family "Bacterial small subunit ribosomal RNA", at positions 524 to 776 of the family's 1533-position model. The record is from RNAcentral.
UACGUAGGGGGCAAGCGUUGUCCGGAUUUAUUGGGCGUAAAGCGCGUGUAGGCGGCCAGACAGGUCCGUUGUGAAAACUCGAGGCUCAACCUCGAGAUGUCGAUGGAAACCGUCUGGCUAGAGUCCGGAAGAGGAGUGUGGAAUUCCUGGUGUAGCGGUGAAAUGCGCAGAUAUCAGGAAGAACACCUAUGGCGAAGGCAGCACUCUGGGACGGUACUGACGCUGAGACGCGAAAGCGUGGGGAGCGAACAGG